CCAGCUCCAAUAGCGUAUAUUAAAGUUGUUGCAGUUAAAAAGCUCGUAGUUGAAAUUGGGGCAUGCGUGUUGGUGGUCAGCUUUUAGCUGGACUGCUGAUGAGAGCAGCUCAUGAAAGCUGUAACUGUUGUGUUUACCUUUUACGGGUUGAUGCAACAUCAAGGGACAGUGAUGAUUACUUUGACGAAAUUAGAGUGUUUAAAGCAGGCUUGAUAGCUUGAAUAUAUUAGCAUGGAAUAAUGAAAUAGGACCAGUUGUUCUAUUUCGUUGGUUUGAGGAUGACGGUAAUGAUGAAUAGGGACAGUUGGGGGCAUUAGUAUUUCAUAGUCAGAGGUGAAAUUCUUGGAUUUAUGAAAGACUAACUGAUGCGAAAGCGUUUGCCAAGGAUGUUCCCA
Molecule: ribosomal RNA, 395 nt
Filed under: uncultured Diaphanoeca
Lineage: Eukaryota; Choanoflagellata; Acanthoecida; Stephanoecidae
Description: SSU rRNA
Rfam family: Eukaryotic small subunit ribosomal RNA
Source: RNAcentral